Molecule: ribosomal RNA, 269 nt
Filed under: uncultured bacterium
Lineage: Bacteria
Description: partial 16S ribosomal RNA
Source: RNAcentral
UACUCCGAAUGCUCUUAUAUUANUAGUUUGAUCAUGGCUCAGUAAUCAACGCUGGCGGCGUGCCUAACACAUGCAAUGUCUGAACGCGAAAGUCCCGCAAGGUGAUCAGUAGAUGUGGCAAACGGUGUGAGUAACGCUGUGGUGUGACCUGCCUUCAGAGCGGGGGAUAACUGUUCCAGAAAUGGGACUGCUAAAUACCNUGCAAUAACAUCACGUGCGCNUUUUAAGCAGGGUGGAAGUAUCGAAAAGCCUUGGNGUACCGCNAAGGC